UACGAAGGGGGCUAGCGUUGCUCGGAAUCACUGGGCGUAAAGCGCACGUAGGCGGAUUGUUAAGUCGGAGGUGAAAUCCUGGAGCUCAACUCCAGAACUGCCUUUGAUACUGGCAAUCUCGAGUCCGGAAGAGGUAAGUGGAACUCCGAGUGUAGAGGUGAAAUUCGUAGAUAUUCGGAAGAACACCAGUGGCGAAGGCGGCUUACUGGUCCGGUACUGACGCUGAGGUGCGAAAGCGUGGGGAGCAAACAGG
This 253-nucleotide ribosomal RNA is filed under the name uncultured bacterium. Its description in RNAcentral is "partial 16S ribosomal RNA". It matches the Rfam family "Bacterial small subunit ribosomal RNA", at positions 524 to 776 of the family's 1533-position model. The record is from RNAcentral.